Molecule: ribosomal RNA, 404 nt
Filed under: uncultured bacterium
Lineage: Bacteria
Description: bacterial SSU rRNA
Rfam family: Bacterial small subunit ribosomal RNA
Source: RNAcentral
UGGGGAAUAUUGGACAAUGGGCGAAAGCCUGAUCCAGCCAUGCCGCGUGAGUGAUGAAGGCCUUAGGGUUGUAAAGCUCUUUCGACGGGGACGAUAAUGACGGUACCCGUAGAAGAAGCCCCGGCUAACUUCGUGCCAGCAGCCGCGGUAAUACGAAGGGGGCUAGCGUUGUUCGGAAUUACUGGGCGUAAAGCGUAUGUAGGCGGAUCGUUAAGUCGGGGGUGAAAUCCCGAGGCUCAACCUCGGAACUGCCUUCGAUACUGGCGAUCUUCGAGUCCGGGAGAGGUGAGUGGAACUCCGAGUGUAGAGGUGAAAUUCGUAGAUAUUCGGAAGAACACCAGUGGCGAAGGCGGCUCACUGGCCCGGUACUGACGCUGAAAUACGAAAGCGUGGGGAGCAAACAG